RNAcentral lists this ribosomal RNA (383 nucleotides) under uncultured eukaryote. Its description in RNAcentral is "partial 18S ribosomal RNA". It matches the Rfam family "Eukaryotic small subunit ribosomal RNA", at positions 592 to 976 of the family's 1831-position model. The record is from RNAcentral.
CAAUAGCGUAUAUUAAAGUUGUUGCAGUUAAAAAGCUCGUAGUUGGAUUUCUGGUGGGAGCGAUCGGUCUGGCGCUUAGCGCGAGUACUUGCAUCGUCUCCGGCCAUCCUUGGGGAGAGUCUGUCUGGCAUUAGGUUGUCGGGCAGAGGAUCCUCAUCGUUUACUGUGAAAAAAUUAGAGUGUUCAAAGCAGGCUUAUGCCGUUGAAUAUAUUAGCAUGGAAUAAUAAGAUAGGACUUUGGUACUAUUUUGUUGGUUUGCGCACCAAAGUAAUGAUUAAUAGGGACAGUUGGGGGUAUUCUUAUUCCGUUGUCAGAGGUGAAAUUCUUGGAUUUACGGAAGACGAACUACUGCGAAAGCAUUUACCAAGGAUGUUUUCAUUAA